Molecule: long non-coding RNA, 2125 nt
Organism: Piliocolobus tephrosceles (Ugandan red Colobus)
Lineage: Eukaryota; Metazoa; Chordata; Mammalia; Primates; Cercopithecidae
Source: Ensembl
AAGAAGAUUUACAAAAAAAAAAAAAAGUUAUUGAUAGAAAUGUGGAACUUAGCAAGCAAAUUAAAUUUAUAAUGAAACUUAUGCAAAAGGUUGGACUAUCAACCAUUUUAACUGGCACGGUUCCACCAGGAAGGAAUAUUGAAAACGUUAUGAAACUGCAAGAGACAUUAAAAGAAAAAUUAAAUUUAUAUAAUAGUAGUAGUAGACGUUCAGCCUUAAGGACACUAAAAAAAAUAACCAACAAUAAAGAUAGUAAUUCACAAAAUCGUCUCAAAAAAAGUGGUAUUGAUAAAGAGCACGAAAAUAAAAUCGAAAAAAAUAAUAACACCUUAGUAUGCGAAGAUUUUGUGGAUGAUGAAUAUGAAGGCGGUAAUAAUAAUAAUGACAAUGACAAUGAGGAAGAAUACAAUGAAAGCAUAUCUCACGUAUUUAUAAAUGAAAUGUUCUAUUCUUUCAUACUUAAAUUACAACAACAUAAUAACACAUGUGAUAAUUCUUUAAAUAACGUUGAAGAACAGUUAAAAAAUGAAGAAAAACCUUACGAUUUGUCUAAAAAAGCGAUAGAAGAUAUAUUAGGAAGUACAAUAGCAAAUAAACUUGAUGAUAAAGAAGUUAACACAGCAAAAAGUAUAAAAGAUGGUAAGAAUAAAGAAACUAUCGAUUCAAUUUUAAAUAUGCUUACCCCAUGGGAACAAAAAAUAUUAGCUCUAUUAUAUGAACAACAAAAAAUGAAAAAGAGUGUUCGUACAAUUAAGGAAAAAUUUUCACAACGCAUUCAACAUAUUAACGUGUUUAUUAAAAAAAUACUUAUCGAUAAGAUUGAAGUUGAAAGACACUUUAAUCGCAUUAUAAAAGCAACAGAAUGUUACAAAAACGAUAUGUUGAAAACUUCUGAUGUCGAUUCUAAUUUUAAGUUUGCUGGUUUAAUGAAAAAAUUAGAAGAACUUUCUAUAUCAUUAGCUGAAAAAACAAGAGACUUUAAUGUGUUAGCAGAAUUCCAUUUAAAUUUAAAAAAACAAAUGGAAAAAAAAGAUUUUUUAAUAAAAGAAUUACAAGAAGAAAACAAAUUGUUUUAUCUUGUUCCAAAAUAUAAUGAACUCUUAAAUGAAAUCGAUAAAAAUAAUGAAAAUGAUAAAAAUGGUGAAAAUGAUAAAAAUGGUGAAAAUGAUAAAAAUGGUGAAAAUGAUAAAAAUGGUGAAAAUGAUAAAAAUGGUAAAAAUGAUCAAAUUGGUAAAAAUGAUAAUAAAAGAACAGCUGUAAAAGAAUUGAAAAAAGAGUUCCUUUUAAUGUAUGGACGUUUAAUGAUUACUAAAAAAAAACUACAGGAAAAAGAAAUUAUAGAAAACGAUAUGAGGAAUUUAAAUAAAAAAAUAUAUACUGAACUCGUUGAAUCAAUAUCAGUUAUAAAAAACUUAGAAUCUCAAAAUAAAUUCUUAGAAUUUAAAUUAAAUAUAGCAAAUAAAAAAAAAGUGGAGAAAAUUAAAAAACUAUUAAAUAAAACAGAAAUGUUAAAUAAAAUCAUAAGCGAAAUGGAAAAAGUGUGUGCAGAAGCAAAUAUAGAUACCGUCGAAUUAAAAAAAAAUAUAUUAGAAAAUUAUAAAAAUUCUAAUUUAUUAACAAAUAACAUAGACACCGAAGAUGAUAAGUCUGAACGGGAAAUGCAAGAAAUUACAGGAGAAUUGCCAAAACCAAAAAAAAAAAAGAAAAAAAAAAAAAUCGAAAAAAAAAAAAAAAAAAAAAAUAAUAAAAAAAAAUAAGAAGCGCGCAAUAUUUUCCGAUAAAAAUAAUUCUGAAGAUAAAGAAAUGAGCAUAGGGGCAGAAUAUGAAAAAACUACACUUUCACCAAAUGAAUCUGAUAACAAUUCAAUGGAUCCCGAAACAAAUGAAGUGCGUGCUUUACUAAGCAAAGAAAUUGAAAUGAAAAAAGAGGGUAGCACAGUUUAAUUUUAGAGUUUUACGAAUACAUAUAUAUAUAUAUAUAUAUACAUUUAAAAAAUGUUGUAAGUUAAAAAAUGAAAAGUGAAAAACAAUAUUUGCAACAUUUUAUUCAUCAAAACAAUGACAGAAAAAAAAUAUUAAACGGUGAAUGUAAUUAUAAUGACAAUAAAAAAGAUAGUUAUAAUCA